AGGUAUGGGCAAAUGGUUACAGCCGACCUCAGCCCGAGAGUGGUGCGUUCCGACUCCGAGUACCAGACAGCACAGUGGUCUCGUGCCGACCCUCAAAACCCUCUCCUUUGAUCCGCCGGUCCGGCCGUGUGCAAAUUUCUAAAAGAGAGCAAGAGUUUAGAGAGAGAUAUGGUGACAUCGCCGGUGGUGAACACCUACCCACUCUCGAGCUACACCUUCGGCACCAAGGAGCCCAAGAUGGAAAAGGACACUUCCGUCGCCGAUCGCCUUGCGCGCAUGAAAGUCAACUACAUGAAGGAAGGCAUGCGAACUAGUGUGGAAGGAAUUUUAGUGGUGCAGGAGCAUAAUCAUCCCCAUAUUCUUCUCCUGCAAAUUGGAAACACAUUCUGCAAACUUCCUGGUGGACGUCUGAAGCCUGGGGAGAAUGAGAUUGAAGGUUUAAAAAGAAAACUAAACAGCAAACUUGGUGCAAAUUCUCCAGCUCUUCAGCCAGACUGGCAGAUAGGUGAGUGUGUUGCCAUCUGGUGGAGACCAAAUUUUGAGACCAUAAUGUACCCGUACUGCCCACCUCAUAUAACUAAGCCAAAGGAAUGCAAGAAACUUUUCCUUGUCCAUCUUUCUGAAAGAGAGUACUUUGCAGUGCCAAAAAAUUUGAAACUUCUUGCUGUUCCAUUGUUUGAACUAUAUGAUAAUGUCCAGAGAUAUGGGCCUGUCAUAUCUACAAUUCCACAGCAGUUGUCAAGAUUUCAGUUCAAGAUGAUCCAUGCAUAAAUGUGGGCUUCGCGGUUUCAACCUGAAUAGAAGAGUUUUGACUUCAUCAGUUCCCAAUUUUUCAGAUGUGUUACAGAGAGUUUAUCCAAUGCAUACUACGGAUGAAUCAGUGAAGUUCAGGCCUUUGUCAAGAUUAAAAUUCCUAACGAUAGUUCUUCAAGAAGAUCAAGGGUUUGUAAAAUUCUCAAUCUGAUAUUGAGAAGAUGUCAUGUUGCAUCAACUAGGUACUUGAUGCAAAAUUAGCUCAUGAUAAUUAGACAGCUAGUGGGAUUUGAAACUUAAAAACUAUAUGUAACUUGCAGAAAUUGCCUAAAGCGGGCAACAAUAAUAUUAAUGAUUUAACUUAGAACUUCACAACUAUAAAUUCCCACAGCAAAAUGGUUAGCAUUUAUUGUUUUCAGAUAUUAGGUCAAUGUACAUCUCUUGCCUUUCACGCUAAAUGUAAAAUCUUGAAUAACCGGAUAAAAAAAGGAAAAAAAGUUAUGAUUGUUGUAGCGAUCGUGCCUAAACUAUAAGGUGGCCAAAUUUAACCCUAUAAAAAUAUCACUACCGUAUUAUUAUUCAACUAAAGAAUUUCAGGACUCUGUUUCUAUACUCAGAGAUGUGACUUCUUAGCUUUACUGCGAUUUCGGUUGAGCAAGCAGGGGGGAAACCAAAGCUGUAAACACCAGAUUAUAUAUGUGUGGGCCAAAAAUUACAAGAAAGUGGAAUGAAAGUACAAAAGGAGAUGCAUGGAAUGGUUCGUUCAGAUAAUAACAAAGGCCAAGCCGAAAUAUCCCCAUGUCUUCUUACCAUUAGAUAUCACAAUUCCGUUCCCACAUAAGUAAGAUAAACCAUCACCACAACAUUAGGCCACAUCUCACAAUGCAGAAUAGCUAUUUUCAUCUUCAGGAGGAGCCUCCGACAAAACCGUCAGCACCACAAAGACUCCAAAGAGGACUGUGACAACGGCGGUGAAGUUGACAAGGAAGGCCUCGGAGCCAUACUUAGCAAGCCCAGAGUUCUCGAGGAAUGUCAGCUUCUCAAGAAAUCCCAGCGCGGCAUUGCCUACUGCCAGCACGUAAGCAAGAAGCCCCACGAUCACGUGCCAUGGGAGCGACCCCCUUCUGAUUGCAGGCGUGCCCCCGGGGAAGAAGAAGACCACGAAUCCAUAGAUCCACUGCAAAUUGUGCCCCCAUUAGCACUGCAAACUCAGAAUGGAAGAGAUCUGAGAGGAGCUGGCAGGUGAAUUUAGAUUUACCUGAAUACCAUACAGCACAAUGAUUCCCAUCCCAAGCCAGGAAUGUAAGCUGUAUAGAUUGGCAAUGUUGCUCUCAUUGUGAUACUUGAAUGCUGCAUAAAUGCCCACUAUGCCAAGUACCAGUGCAACACCAUGGAGGACUAGAUGGAUUAGUUUCUUCACCUCUUUCUUCAAUGUAAGAGCUUUGUAACUUAUAAUGGCUGCAAAGGGAGAGACAAGAGAAAGAAUUGCUCAGUUUGUUGAAUCUACAAAGCAACCAUGGAAGAUGGAACCAUGAGAUAGAGAUAGAUAAUUUUUUGAUUA
Diospyros lotus (date-plum) is the source of this 2314-nucleotide RNA transcript. It is a transcript of the gene named pre-mRNA cleavage factor Im 25 kDa subunit 2-like, with no coding region annotated. The transcript is spliced from 8 exons. Lineage: Eukaryota; Viridiplantae; Streptophyta; Magnoliopsida; Ericales; Ebenaceae. The record is from RefSeq and is a predicted model, not a curated record.